CUACGUGCCAGCAGCCGCGGUAAUACGGAGGAUGCGAGCGUUAUCCGGAUUUAUUGGGUUUAAAGGGUGCGUAGGCGGCCUGUUAAGUCAGCGGUGAAAUCUAGGAGCUUAACUCCUAAAUUGCCAUUGAUACUGGCGGGCUUGAGUGUAGAUGAGGUAGGCGGAAUGCGUGGUGUAGCGGUGGAAUGCAUAGAUAUCACGCAGAACUCCGAUUGCGAAGGCAGCUGACGGGAGCGCAACUGACGCUUAAGCUCGAAGGUGCGGGUAUCAAACAGGAUUAGAUACCCUGGUAGUCCGCACAGUAAACGAUGGAUGCCCGCUGUUGGUACCUGGUAUCAGCGGCUAAGCGAAAGCAUUAAGCAUCCCACCUGGGGAGUACGCCGGCAACGGUGAAACUCAAAGGAAUUGACGGGGGCCCGCACAAGCGGAGGAACAUGUGGUUUAAUUCGAUGAUACGCGAGGAACCUUACCCGGGCUUGAA
This 481-nucleotide ribosomal RNA is filed under the name uncultured bacterium. Its description in RNAcentral is "bacterial SSU rRNA". It matches the Rfam family "Bacterial small subunit ribosomal RNA", at positions 501 to 985 of the family's 1533-position model. The record is from RNAcentral.